CUCCGUCGGUUGAUCGCUUCUUAGAGGGACAAGCGGCGCUCAGCCGCACGAGAUUGAGCAAUAACAGGUCUGUGAUGCCCUUAGAUGUCCGGGGCCGCACGCGCGCUACACUGAAGGAAUCAGCGUGUGUCCUCCCCCAGUCCGGCAGGACCGGGUAACCCGCUGAACCUCUUUCGUGAUAGGGAUCGGGGUUUGGAAUUGUCCCCCGUGAACGAGGAAUUCCCAGUAA
This 229-nucleotide ribosomal RNA is filed under the name Lithobius maqinensis. Its description in RNAcentral is "partial 18S ribosomal RNA". It matches the Rfam family "Eukaryotic small subunit ribosomal RNA", at positions 1391 to 1620 of the family's 1831-position model. Lineage: Eukaryota; Metazoa; Arthropoda; Chilopoda; Lithobiomorpha; Lithobiidae. The record is from RNAcentral.